UACGAAGGGUGCUAGCGUUGUUCGGAUUUACUGGGCGUAAAGGGCACGCAGGCGGCCAAACAAGUCAGAGGUGAAAUCCCAGGGCUCAACCCUGGAACUGCCUUUGAAACUGUUUGGCUAGAGACCGAGAGAGGUGAGUGGAAUUCCUAGUGUAGAGGUGAAAUUCGUAGAUAUUAGGAGGAACACCAGUGGCGAAGGCGGCUCACUGGCUCGGUACUGACGCUCAUGUGCGAAAGCGUGGGGAGCAAACAGG
This 253-nucleotide ribosomal RNA is filed under the name uncultured bacterium. RNAcentral describes it as "partial 16S ribosomal RNA". It matches the Rfam family "Bacterial small subunit ribosomal RNA", at positions 524 to 776 of the family's 1533-position model. The record is from RNAcentral.